RNAcentral lists this ribosomal RNA (626 nucleotides) under uncultured Peptostreptococcaceae bacterium. Its description in RNAcentral is "bacterial SSU rRNA". It matches the Rfam family "Bacterial small subunit ribosomal RNA", at positions 94 to 739 of the family's 1533-position model. The record is from RNAcentral. Lineage: Bacteria; Bacillati; Bacillota; Clostridia; Peptostreptococcales; Peptostreptococcaceae.
AGCGGCGGACGGGUGAGUAACGCGUGGGUAACCUGCCCUAUACACAUGGAUAACAUACUGAAAAGUUUACUAAUACAUGAUAAUAUAUAUUUGCGGCAUCGCAGAUAUAUCAAAGUGUUAGCGGUAUAGGAUGGACCCGCGUCUGAUUAGCUAGUUGGUGAGAUAACUGCCCACCAAGGCGACGAUCAGUAGCCGACCUGAGAGGGUGAUCGGCCACAUUGGAACUGAGACACGGUCCAAACUCCUACGGGAGGCAGCAGUGGGGAAUAUUGCACAAUGGGCGAAAGCCUGAUGCAGCAACGCCGCGUGAACGAUGAAGGUCUUCGGAUCGUAAAGUUCUGUUGCAGGGGAAGAUAAUGACGGUACCCUGUGAGGAAGCCCCGGCUAACUACGUGCCAGCAGCCGCGGUAAUACGUAGGGGGCUAGCGUUAUCCGGAUUUACUGGGCGUAAAGGGUGCGUAGGUGGUCCUUCAAGUCGGUGGUUAAAGGCUACGGCUCAACCGUAGUAAGCCGCCGAAACUGGAGGACUUGAGUGCAGGAGAGGAAAGUGGAAUUCCCAGUGUAGCGGUGAAAUGCGUAGAUAUUGGGAGGAACACCAGUAGCGAAGGCGGCUUUCUGGACUGCAA